RNAcentral lists this long non-coding RNA (209 nucleotides) under Mytilus galloprovincialis (Mediterranean mussel). The record is from RNAcentral. Lineage: Eukaryota; Metazoa; Mollusca; Bivalvia; Mytilida; Mytilidae.
CAUGAAUUUACCUUUAAAGAGAAUUUAUCCACAUAUCUUGCUAUAGUAAUGAUAAAAAUACUAAGUGGAGUUUUUAAUGAAAUUGUCCAUCAACAGCGAUUUAUAACAGCAAAGGAAUAAAUCUGCAAUAUUAGCAGUAAGUCCCUAUCGGAAUACUCAAUACUAAGCAGAAUGCUUUUUCACGAAAACAAAUAAAAACAUCAUAAGGC